GCGAUUCAAAAAGCCAGCCUGAAUUUUCAUGGCCAUGGGACAAAGAACCCCGUCUUUAGCUGAAUUAAGGAAAAGUUCUGCAACAUUUUUGACGUGCAACUUGGGGGCUCAAGCGGAGAAGCGUUCUGGACCUGUGCCAGCCACAUAGAAACUGCUUAAUAAUUAUUUGUUGAAGAAUGUUCUAAAUGAAUAAUCCGCAGCAAAGCCCUGAGAAAAGCAGAGCCCCUGGAAAACUCACAUAUGUGUCAACAAUAGUCCUUGAUGCCCCUGUAACAAAACUUGAGCAAGGCCUGGUGAUGAAGAGAUACAAGAUUGUCACCCAAGGAUUUGAUUAUACCUCUGUUGAAAGUUAAUGCACACUCAACCGAAUAUGGCAAUUGGUACUCUCAAUUCUAUAUUCUCAACAAUUACAGUGAAGAUACAAGUAGAAUACAAUCACUGCCACAUUUUUUGAAAUUCUGUGUAAACUGUAAUAUUCUGUCAACAUUAAUGACAUUUGAAGUGUCCUGUCAAAACAAUUGCAGCUACUUUAUGUAUAAAACAUAUUAAAUAGGCUCAUCCAACUUGCAUUCUUUAUUAAGCUUAUUUUCAUAUUUUUUCCUAUGGAUGAACUUAAAAAUAAUUUUGUUUCUUAAUUAAGAUUCUAUGCAUGAAGAUGCUGAAUAAUUUAAGACAAUUGUUCAUUCAAAUAGUUGCUAAUUACACCCUCCUGGCAUAGUUAUUGUAUUAUUACUACAUUUAGGAAUAAUAUGCUGUACUACUUGGACUUGAAAAUGUUUCUGACAUUUUAAUGAACACACUACUUAGUUAUAUUUUACAAGGGUUUUCAGUGAACCACAGAGGAUUAAAAAAUGUCAUUCAAGGGUUGUAGAUAAUUAAACUGACUGAAUAUAAGAAGCCUCAUAUGGAAGUGAAAAUUAUGUAUGAAUUUUGUUGAGCUGGAAAUGUGUUUUACUAAAUGACUUCAGAUUUGUUACUUUUAAAUACAAGAUGAAGGGAAUCAAGGGGAUACUUUCUUCUCACCUCAAUUUGUUCCAUUUGCAUAAGCUAUUUUAUCUUUCAAUAUCCCUUUUGAUAUUUCAUUUUGGCCCUUGAAUACACUAAAGAUUAUUUAAAAUAAAUAAAUGUUGACUUUGAAAUAC
This is a long non-coding RNA of Homo sapiens (human), 1142 nucleotides long. Ensembl annotates it as long intergenic non-protein coding RNA 1036. The record is from Ensembl. Lineage: Eukaryota; Metazoa; Chordata; Mammalia; Primates; Hominidae.